GGAGAGGGUUAUUGGGUUGAGAGAUUUUUGUUUUUAAUUAUAUUCCCCCCAACACACCCACCCACACGUCAUACAAAUGGUAUCAUACACGUCCAACAUCUGUAUCUUCCACACAAGUCCUGAGCAACCCAACACAAACACACCCCUUCAACACUUCACACCUCCCACUUUGCCUCCAACUGAACCUCACGCCAUACAUCCACAGCAUACUUCCAGUGACACCCACACAACAGCACCCAACUCCACAAGACAAACACACACACACACACACAAAUGUUCAUGCAAGUUGUACUGCACACAUCCAUCCAGAACAGCAUCUCAAGUGCCACCCACAUCCCAUUCUGGACACCACCAGCACCAUCUCAAUGACAUCCCCACCCCCACAUUCACCUCAACACAGCACACCCUCAGAUCCUCCACGCUGAUUCACCCAGGUCAGGACUGAAGACUCAUGCCAGCAGGUGGAGCUGUUCUCAGUACACAAAGGCUACUGGGCUCUGACAGAGGGGACUCCAAGGACUUCCCAACCCCAAGAGACUUUUGUAGGCAGGCUGGAAGCAUAGAAAUUGCACCAAAGGCCCCAAUGGGAGACCAAAAUACACCUCCCCAAAAUAUACUUAUUUGGCAUAUUACAUGAUGGCUAUUCAGAGAAAUGCUGAAGUCUGUAAAAGACACAUUUAUAAAGGAAAUUUACAUUAUAAAAAGUAAGCGGUAUUUGCUAGUGAUGGCUUUCUCUCCAGUCCCCUCUGAGGUAGAGUAGGAGAAAAUAAGAAAGAGGAAGAAAGGAGAUAUGAAGGAAGGGCAAGGAAAUCAAAAUUUAAAUUCAGAAGUUUUAUAUACUUUUCUAGGCCUAAGACAGUCUCUCUCUCAGGCCUGUCAAUCCCAAAUUUCUGGAAAAUAAGUAAAUUUGUCUUGAGUAUGAUUAAUUAUCCCCCAAUACAUAGAUUAAGCAAAGAGAGAUAUGACAUUUUAAGAAAUCUACUAUUUAGGUGGACUUUCCA
RNAcentral lists this long non-coding RNA (1001 nucleotides) under Marmota monax (woodchuck). The record is from RNAcentral. Lineage: Eukaryota; Metazoa; Chordata; Mammalia; Rodentia; Sciuridae.